UUGACCUCGGAUCAGGUAGGGAUACCCGCUGAACUUAAGCAUAUCAAUAAGCGGAGGAAAAGAAACCAACAGGGAUUGCCUCAGUAACGGCGAGUGAAGCGGCAAGAGCUCAAAUUUGAAAGCUGGGCCUUUCAGGUCCCGCAUUGUAAUUUGCAGAGGAUGCUUCGGGAGUGGCCCCUAUCUAAGUGCUCUGGAA
This 196-nucleotide ribosomal RNA is filed under the name Penicillium glaucoalbidum. Its description in RNAcentral is "partial 28S ribosomal RNA". It matches the Rfam family "Eukaryotic large subunit ribosomal RNA", at positions 1 to 195 of the family's 3401-position model. The record is from RNAcentral. Lineage: Eukaryota; Fungi; Ascomycota; Eurotiomycetes; Eurotiales; Aspergillaceae.